This is a non-coding RNA of Misgurnus anguillicaudatus (oriental weatherfish), 1351 nucleotides long. Lineage: Eukaryota; Metazoa; Chordata; Actinopteri; Cypriniformes; Cobitidae. The record is from RefSeq and is a predicted model, not a curated record.
AUCGACAAGAUAUAUUUACUUUUAUGUUUUUUUCAGUAGUAGAGGAAGAAUGUUCCGAUUGGUCGAUGUACUGUUUGUCCCGCCUCUCCUCCAUUGUGAUUGGACAAAGGCGAUUUACAGCGCGCCACUUUUGAUAAAUACACAUUAGCAGGAUUAGGAUAACAAUUGUUUUACAACGCAUCUUAAAAAAAAAACGUUUUAAAAUGUAUAAUAUAAAAAUAAAUAUGUAUAUUUGAUCUGGAAUAUUAUUUAUUUUAUAAAAAAUCCUUUUAGCCAAUGGGGGGCCUGCUCCACCGCAAGUCGUCAUUUUCUAUCUCUAUAAUAAAUGUUGCUGAUUUUACUUUAAAAAAUGUUAAAAAAUGGAUCUUGCGAAUACAAGAAAAAGUUAAUCUCUGAAAAAUAAUUCAUUGCAGUUCAGUGAUGACUAUAAUGGCAGUCUCGAUCUUAUAUCUUCUCUCUGUAUUGUGCAUUUAAAUCAGGAAUCUUUAAUAAAAUCCGGUCUGAUUUUAUACCAUUCAGUGUGGUUUUGCAGGGGUUCUCAAAGUUUACAUUCAAAGGUCCAAAUCUGAAUUGCCGCUACAUCCAAAAGCCAGGGGGCGCUCUCGGGCAGAAACUUAACAUGCGAAGAACCAGACACACGCAGCUCCAGGAAAUUAAGGAUAUAUUUAUAUUGCUGUUCUUCAAACCUUUUCAGGGAAGGAAAAACAAAUCAUGACACUUUCUCACAUUAUUCUGAAAAUUAGAGGGGUGCGAGGGGCCUCCAACACUUCAAAUAUCUAGAGCCGGCCCUGGUCUCUUGAGAUACUUAGAAAUCCCACCGGAAGCAGUAGAUCAUCCAGAUCAGAGCUUCUGUUUCCUGUCCUCUUAGUAAAAUGGCUUCAAUCGAGGAGAAAUGUCAGAUUUCAAACCGACUUCAGAUGACAAAUGCUGUCCUUGCAAGGGUCAGAAUGGGGUCAAUCUGUAUAAUAGGACUAAACUUUUCCUGCUGGUUUUGUCCGUCUCAGUUAAUUUCUUCUUGGAAGUCUGAGCGCUCUUAGGAUGAAUUAAGUGUUCAGGGUUGCUUGAUAAUUACAGACAGGUGUGUUGGAGCUGAAGUCUGCAGGAUGGUAGUCCUCCAGGAGCAGGGUUCAGCACCCCUGCGUUACAACCAAUAAAAUUUCCAUUAUAACCAUUAUAUUUAUAAUUAUAAUUUAAUGGUUUCAAUCAGUUUAUAAAAUCUGAAGAAUUGAUGUGAUGUUUUUUAUUGUUUUUCUAGCAGAGUAUUAAUAAAUAAUUGACCUUAAUGUAGUUUAUUUUUUAGUCAGAUAUCAGUUACUAAUAUGAUCUUUUUAAUCUUUUCUUUAUUCCCUCU